Molecule: long non-coding RNA, 1030 nt
Organism: Labeo rohita (rohu)
Lineage: Eukaryota; Metazoa; Chordata; Actinopteri; Cypriniformes; Cyprinidae
Exons: 3
Source: RefSeq, a predicted model, not a curated record
ACAGGAAACUGAGGCAGAUUAAUAUGCUGAACUCUGAUCUCUGUGAAACAGACCAGGAGGCUAUGAAGAUGAUUUCUGACUGUGACAAACACACAAUAACAACCUGUGUCUACAGUCGUCACACAGUUUCAUGAGUCUCAGAGGAUCUUCAUGUACAUAUAUAUAGGUCUCUAAAAUGCUGUUUGCUUACUUGGUUUAAAAAAAUAAAAUCUAAUAAUUUUCAUUUUCAGACAGCAUUAUGAGUUUUAAACUUAUAGAUUGAUUAUCAUUCUUAAAUAAUCAGGAUGUUGACAUGAAAACAGUAAGGAAAAGAUCUGACCGUGUAAACAGAGUGAAUGGAAGGUGUUUUACUAUGUUAUAUUUGUUGACAUUAGUUUACAUUAGUUAACAUGAAAAGUUGACGCUACUUACCAAAAGUCAGAGCCAGAUUUAACCAUAUAACCUCCACAUAAACUUUUUUACCACAUUAUUGUAGCAUUUUGUAAAGGGCAACAUUUACAUGAAUUAAUGAAUCAAUAAAUCAAUCAGUAAGUAAAUGCAGUUUAAUAGGUUUUAGUAAAGCAUAUGAGGAUCAAGUGCAACAAAGGUAGUGUGAUAUUUGUGCAUUUUCACUAUGAACAUCACUUGUAAAUUCCAUAAGGUCCUUAAUUAGCAGUGAAAACUGUAAAAAGCUGGCACACAUAGGCUGCAAAAAUAUAAAAAUGUAAUAACAGACUAUCACACAGAUGAUGUGUCAAGCAUGCAGGGUCUUCAUCAGAUGUAUCGAUGUAUCGGCUCCAUAUUUUUUGAGGAAAUUAUCCAUACAUGCAUGAUUUUGCAAUAUCUGAAAAUGUCCUCAAUAAAUGUAUAUCUUUCAGUGUGCUGUGCUUGUCUGCUGGAGUUGUGGAUGAAUAAAUCAGAAUUUAAGAUCUGAAUAAAGAGAGUAUUAUUUUAUUCAUUCUAUUUAUUCAAGAGCCAGUGAAAUCUUUAAAAAAUAUUGUUUGUCACAAUAUGAAAAUAAGUAUGUACAGUCAGCUGAUCAUUAUUGCAA